RNAcentral lists this ribosomal RNA (338 nucleotides) under uncultured Glomus. RNAcentral's name for it is "SSU rRNA". It matches the Rfam family "Eukaryotic small subunit ribosomal RNA", at positions 569 to 912 of the family's 1831-position model. Lineage: Eukaryota; Fungi; Glomeromycota; Glomeromycetes; Glomerales; Glomeraceae. The record is from RNAcentral.
AGCAGCCGCGGUAAUUCCAGCUCCAAUAGCGUAUAUUAAAGUUGUUGCAGUUAAAAAGCUCGUAGUUGAAUUUCGGGGGUUAGUAGGUUGGUCGUGCCACUGGUACGUACUGGUCUCACUGACUCCUCCUUCCUGAUGAACUGUAAUGCCAUUAAUUUGGUGUUGCGGGGAAACUGGACUGUUACUUUGAAAAAUUAGAGUGUUUAAAGCAAGCUAACGCUUGAAUACAUUAGCAUGGAAUAAUGAAAUAGGACGUUCGAUCCUAUUUGUUGGUUUCUAGGAUUGACGUAAUGAUUAAUAGGGAUAGUUGGGGGCAUUAGUAUUCAAUUGUCAGAGGU